This is a non-coding RNA of Saimiri boliviensis boliviensis (Bolivian squirrel monkey), 803 nucleotides long. The record is from RefSeq and is a predicted model, not a curated record. Lineage: Eukaryota; Metazoa; Chordata; Mammalia; Primates; Cebidae.
GACUCUGGCAGCGGCUCUGCGAUAUAUCCGGAUGCAACUGUCACGGCUGCUAUCAGUGAGGGCCCGGAAUGGAGAUCGAGUCAAGGGUUGCUCAGGGGCACUUAGAGCCUUUGGUUUCAAGGAGGCCUCUGAAAGGACAAAGGAUGAGAUUGUCUGGUGGCAGGGUGCACCCAGCAGUCCUAGGAGCUGUAUCGCCGCUCUUCCAGUUAACUUGCCGCUACGUUUUUCUGGAAAAGUCACUCUUCUUGGCAGGGGUGUCCUAUAGGUUUUGUCAUGGAGUGAAACAGAAACAAAUGGAUUCCCAAGAGCUUUGAAUGAGAUUUAAGAUUACUUCUAGUAACCUUGCUUGCCAGACCCAUGGUGGAUGUAAUUAACCAUCUGUGCUCGUAAAUCAGGAAACUGAAAAACUGUGAAAACACUCCGACCUCAAUUGAGAUAUCCCUGACUCUAGGCCAGUGAUUUUCAACCUUGACUGCACAUUGGAAUCAACUGGGGAGCCUUCAAAACUACUGGCAUGUGGGUUCCAGCCUCAGAGAUUCUGAUGUAACACACGGACAGUCAAAUUGGAAACACUGUAAAUUGGCUCAAUUGGUUCAUCUUUUACUGCUGUACAGAAGAUUUCAUUGUAUAAGUACUUCACAACUCAGGUACUGAUUUCCAGUUGAUGAACCAUUUCAAAUGUUUGUUAUUUCAAGCAAUACUAUAAUGAAAGUUGUUGUACUUUUCUCCCUGUGAAUGUUCCUCUGGGGUAUAUACUGAGAAGUUUGAAUUGGCAGAUCAAAGGUUGAGCAUCUUCAACUUUA